GCUGGGUGCAGUGAUGCACGCCUGUAAUCCUGGCUACUUGGGAGGCUGAGGUAGGAGGAUCACAAGUUUGAGGCCAGCACGGGCAACUAUGGGAGGCCCUAAACAACUCUACAGGACCCUGUCUCAA
RNAcentral lists this small RNA (127 nucleotides) under Marmota monax (woodchuck). Lineage: Eukaryota; Metazoa; Chordata; Mammalia; Rodentia; Sciuridae. The record is from RNAcentral.